UGGGGAAUAUUGCGCAAUGGGGGAAACCCUGACGCAGCGACGCCGCGUGUGGGAUGAAGGUCUUCGGAUUGUAAACCACUGUCGCGAGGGACGAAGCUCUGACGGUACCUCGAAAGGAAGCACCGGCUAACUCUGUGCCAGCAGCCGCGGUAAUACAGAGGGUGCGAGCGUUGUCCGGAAUCACUGGGCGUAAAGGGCGCGUAGGCGGCCCGGUAAGUAGGGGGUGAAAUCUCAUGGCUCAACUGUGAGGCUGCCUUCUAGACUGCCAGGCUUGAGCACAGUAGAGGCGAGUGGAAUUCCCGGUGUAGCGGUGGAAUGCGUAGAGAUCGGGAAGAACAUCGGUGGCGAAGGCGGCUCGCUGGGCUGUUGCUGACGCUGAGGCGCGAAAGCGUGGGGAGCAAACAGGAUUAGAUACCCAAGUAGUCCCUGAGCGGGCUGGCAAGGCGCAU
Molecule: ribosomal RNA, 449 nt
Filed under: uncultured bacterium
Lineage: Bacteria
Description: bacterial SSU rRNA
Rfam family: Bacterial small subunit ribosomal RNA
Source: RNAcentral